AUUGAACGCUGGCGGCAUGCCUUACACAUGCAAGUCGAACGGUAACAGGUUAAGCUGACGAGUGGCGAACGGGUGAGUAAUGUAUCGGAACGUGCCCAGUCGUGGGGGAUAACUGCUCGAAAGAGCAGCCAAUACCGCAUACGACCUGAGGGUGAAAGCGGGGGAUCGCAAGACCUCGCGCGAUUGGAGCGGCCGAUAUCAGAUUAGGUAGUUGGUGAGGUAAAGGCUCACCAAGCCGACGAUCUGUAGCUGGUCUGAGAGGACGACCAGCCACACUGGGACUGAGACACGGCCCAGACUCCUACGGGAGGCAGCAGUGGGGAAUUUUGGACAAUGGGCGCAAGCCUGAUCCAGCCAUGCCGCGUGCGGGAAGAAGGCCUUCGGGUUGUAAACCGCUUUUGUCAGGGAAGAAAAGGUUCUGGCUAAUACCUGGGACUCAUGACGGUACCUGAAGAAUAAGCACCGGCUAACUACGUG
Molecule: ribosomal RNA, 477 nt
Filed under: uncultured bacterium
Lineage: Bacteria
Description: partial 16S ribosomal RNA
Rfam family: Bacterial small subunit ribosomal RNA
Source: RNAcentral